Molecule: ribosomal RNA, 1372 nt
Filed under: uncultured bacterium
Lineage: Bacteria
Description: bacterial SSU rRNA
Rfam family: Bacterial small subunit ribosomal RNA
Source: RNAcentral
GAUGAACGCUGGCGGCGUGCCUAAUACAUGCAAGUCGAGCGAACGGACGAGAAGCUUGCUUCUCUGAUGUUAGCGGCGGACGGGUGAGUAACACGUGGAUAACCUACCUAUAAGACUGGGAUAACUUCGGGAAACCGGAGCUAAUACCGGACGAUAUUUUGAACCGCAUGGUUCAAAAGUGAAAGACGGUCUUGCUGUCACUUAUAGAUGGAUCCGCGCUGCAUUAGCUAGUUGGUAAGGUAACGGCUUACCAAGGCAACGAUGCAUAGCCGACCUGAGAGGGUGAUCGGCCACACUGGAACUGAGACACGGUCCAGACUCCUACGGGAGGCAGCAGUAGGGAAUCUUCCGCAAUGGGCGAAAGCCUGACGGAGCAACGCCGCGUGAGUGAUGAAGGUCUUCGGAUCGUAAAACUCUGUUAUUAGGGAAGAACAUAUGUGUAAGUAACUGUGCACAUCUUGACGGUACCUAAUCAGAAAGCCACGGCUAACUACGUGCCAGCAGCCGCGGUAAUACGUAGGUGGCAAGCGUUAUCCGGAAUUAUUGGGCGUAAAGCGCGCGUAGGCGGUUUUUUAAGUCUGAUGUGAAAGCCCACGGCUCAACCGUGGAGGGUCAUUGGAAACUGGAAAACUUGAGUGCAGAAGAGGAAAGUGGAAUUCCAUGUGUAGCGGUGAAAUGCGCAGAGAUAUGGAGGAACACCAGUGGCGAAGGCGACUUUCUGGUCUGUAACUGACGCUGAUGUGCGAAAGCGUGGGGAUCAAACAGGAUUAGAUACCCUGGUAGUCCACGCCGUAAACGAUGAGUGCUAAGUGUUAGGGGGUUUCCGCCCCUUAGUGCUGCAGCUAACGCAUUAAGCACUCCGCCUGGGGAGUACGACCGCAAGGUUGAAACUCAAAGGAAUUGACGGGGACCCGCACAAGCGGUGGAGCAUGUGGUUUAAUUCGAAGCAACGCGAAGAACCUUACCAAAUCUUGACAUCCUUUGACAACUCUAGAGAUAGAGCCUUCCCCUUCGGGGGACAAAGUGACAGGUGGUGCAUGGUUGUCGUCAGCUCGUGUCGUGAGAUGUUGGGUUAAGUCCCGCAACGAGCGCAACCCUUAAGCUUAGUUGCCAUCAUUAAGUUGGGCACUCUAAGUUGACUGCCGGUGACAAACCGGAGGAAGGUGGGGAUGACGUCAAAUCAUCAUGCCCCUUAUGAUUUGGGCUACACACGUGCUACAAUGGACAAUACAAAGGGCAGCGAAACCGCGAGGUCAAGCAAAUCCCAUAAAGUUGUUCUCAGUUCGGAUUGUAGUCUGCAACUCGACUACAUGAAGCUGGAAUCGCUAGUAAUCGUAGAUCAGCAUGCUACGGUGAAUACGUUCCCGGGUCU